RNAcentral lists this ribosomal RNA (207 nucleotides) under uncultured Latescibacterota bacterium. RNAcentral's name for it is "uncultured Latescibacteria bacterium partial 16S ribosomal RNA". It matches the Rfam family "Bacterial small subunit ribosomal RNA", at positions 568 to 774 of the family's 1533-position model. Lineage: Bacteria; Pseudomonadati; Candidatus Latescibacterota. The record is from RNAcentral.
CGUGUAGGCGGUCAGGUAAGUGGAAUGUGAAAUGCCCCAGCUCACCCGGGGACCGGCAUCCCAAACUGCCUGGCUUGAGUAUGGGAGAGGAUGGAGGAAUUCCUGGUGUAGCGGUGAAAUGCGUAGAUAUCAGGAGGAACACCGGUGGCGAAGGCGUCCAUCUGGCCCAAUACUGACGCUGAGGCGCGAAAGCUAGGGGAGCAAACG